This 750-nucleotide ribosomal RNA is filed under the name Pediococcus argentinicus. Its description in RNAcentral is "bacterial SSU rRNA". It matches the Rfam family "Bacterial small subunit ribosomal RNA", at positions 445 to 1188 of the family's 1533-position model. Lineage: Bacteria; Bacillati; Bacillota; Bacilli; Lactobacillales; Lactobacillaceae. The record is from RNAcentral.
AAGAACGUAGGUAAGAGUAACUGUUUACCUAGUGACGGUAUUUAACCAGAAAGCCACGGCUAACUACCUGCCACCAGCCGCGGUAAUACGUAGGUGGCAAGCGUUAUCCGGAUUUAUUGGGCGUAAAGCGAGCGCAGGUGGUUUCUUAAGUCUAAUGUGAAAGCCUUCGGCUCAACCGAAGAAAUGCAUUGGAAACUGGGAAACUUGAGUGCAGAAGAGGACAGUGGAACUCCAUGUGUAGCGGUGAAAUGCGUAUAUAUAUGGAAGAACACCAGUGGCGAAGGCGGCUGUCUGGUCUGUAACUGACACUGAGGCUCGAAAGCAUGGGUAGCGAACAGGAUUAGAUACCCUGGUAGUCCAUGCCGUAAACGAUGAAUGCUAAGUGUUGGAGGGUUUCCGCCCUUCAGUGCUGCAGCUAACGCAUUAAGCAUUCCGCCUGGGGAGUACGACCGCAAGGUUGAAACUCAAAAGAAUUGACGGGGGCCCGCACAAGCGGUGGAGCAUGUGGUUUAAUUCGAAGCUACGCGAAGAACCUUACCAGGUCUUGACAUCUUCUGCCAAUCUAAGAGAUUAGACGUUCCCUUCGGGGACAGAAUGACAGGUGGUGCAUGGUUGUCGUCAGCUCGUGUCGUGAGAUGUUGGGUUAAGUCCCGCAACGAGCGCAACCCUUAUUACUAGUUGCCAGCAUUUAGUUGGGCACUCUAGUGAGACUGCCGGUGACAAACCGGAGGAAGGUGGGGACGACGUCAA